AGGACGAACGCUGGCGGCGCGCUUAACACAUGCAAGUCGAGCGAGAACCUGGCCUUCGGGCCUGGGGAAAGCGGCGAACGGGUGAGUAACACGUGGGUAACCCACCCUUGGUACCGGGAUAGCCCGAGGAAACUCGGAUUAAUACCGGAUGGCCCAACAGCUCUUCGGGGCGGUUGGAAAAGGUAGCUUCGGCCUCCGACCAAGGACGGGCCCGCGGCGGAUUAGCUUGUUGGUGAGGUAACGGCUCACCAAGGCGACGAUCCGUAGCUGGUCUGAGAGGACGAUCAGCCACACUGGGACUGAGACACGGCCCAGACUCCUACGGGAGGCAGCAGUGGGGAAUCUUGCGCAAUGGGCGAAAGCCUGACGCAGCGACGCCGCGUGGGGGAAGAAGGCUUUCGGGUUGUAAACCCUUUCAGGAAGGACGAAGCCACUCGGGUGAAUAGCCCAGAGGGUGACGGUACUUCCAGAAGAAGCCCCGGCUAACUACGUGCCAGCAGCCGC
This 504-nucleotide ribosomal RNA is filed under the name uncultured bacterium. RNAcentral describes it as "SSU rRNA". It matches the Rfam family "Bacterial small subunit ribosomal RNA", at positions 26 to 518 of the family's 1533-position model. The record is from RNAcentral.